GACGAACGCUGGCGGCGUGCUUAACACAUGCAAGUCGAACGGAAAGGCCCUGCUUUUGUGGGGUGCUCGAGUGGCGAACGGGUGAGUAACACGUGAGUAUCCUGCCCUUGACUUUGGGAUAACUUCAGGAAACUGGGGCUAAUACCGGAUAGGAGCUCCUGCUGCAUGGUGGGGGUUGGAAAGUUUCGGCGGUUGGGGAUGGACUCGCGGCUUAUCAGCGUGUUGGUGGGGUAGUGGCUUACCAAGGCUUUGACGGGUAGCCGGCCUGAGAGGGUGACCGGCCACAUUGGGACUGAGAUACGGCCCAGACUCCUACGGGAGGCAGCAGUGGGGAAUAUUGCACAAUGGGCGGAAGCCUGAUGCAGCAACGCCGCGUGCGGGAUGACGGCCUUCGGGUUGUAAACCGCUUUCGCCUGUGACGAAGCGUGAGUGACGGUAAUGGGUAAAGAAGCACCGGCUAACUACGUG
This 468-nucleotide ribosomal RNA is filed under the name uncultured bacterium. RNAcentral describes it as "partial 16S ribosomal RNA". It matches the Rfam family "Bacterial small subunit ribosomal RNA", at positions 28 to 507 of the family's 1533-position model. The record is from RNAcentral.